Molecule: long non-coding RNA, 691 nt
Organism: Saccostrea echinata
Lineage: Eukaryota; Metazoa; Mollusca; Bivalvia; Ostreida; Ostreidae
Exons: 4
Source: RefSeq, a predicted model, not a curated record
CUAUUCAAUUUGAAUGAGUGAUAUCACCUAUUCGAAUAGGUGAUAUCACCUAUUCGCAUUUCUUACAACAACAAAUAAUGAAUGCUCCCUUCCUCAAGAUUAUCUAGAUUUUCAUUGGAACCAAGCAAAUUCGGGCUGCGUUAGGGUCUGUAAGUCUCGUCAUGUGACUCGCGAGAUUUUUCGAUAAUAUUAACUUCCAGGUACCUCACACAUGGAGAUGUGUAUUGGGUCAUGCAUGUUUAUGGUUUACACAAAGCGUAUAAGGAAAGUUUAAGCAGUUGUACAAAGCCGGAGGGUUCUCCGACUUACGAUGGAUAAAUUGAGGGUCGUAAAAGCUUGGGUGCGAGCAAGUAGGAGGAGAAUUUCGAUCGAAGUACAGAUUUUUCUUGAAUUCGAGGAUAAUGAUGUUAUUACCAGCUGAUUAAGGAGGAGUAGUGUAAGUGUCAGAUGGGUACGAACGUCAUCUUGUGACAGCAUCACCUUUGUUUGGCUAAAGUACAAGAGAACUGCAGCAUCUCAGACUACAUGUACAUCAACUUUGAAUAAUCUACCCGGUAUAUCCUCAAAAAGGCAACUCAAAUACAGAAAGUGCAUAUAAUUUGGAAAAGAGACCAUCAAUCCACUGGGGGGUAUCGCAUGAAAGCAAUGAUUAUAGAAUAUUGUAAGGCUGGAGGAGUUAUAGUACAACAGG